Sarcophilus harrisii (Tasmanian devil) is the source of this 584-nucleotide long non-coding RNA. RefSeq lists it as uncharacterized. The transcript is spliced from 2 exons. The record is from RefSeq and is a predicted model, not a curated record. NCBI's taxonomy places the organism in Eukaryota, Metazoa, Chordata, Mammalia, Dasyuromorphia, Dasyuridae.
UAGUUAGAAGUCUAGGAAUGGAAAUAGUUCUGAGUGCAGACGUCUAGAGCUAAAAGGAACCUCGGAGGUUAAAUAGAUAAAGCGAUUUAUUUUACAAAGAAGGAAAGCGGAGUUCAGGAAGGCUGGCUCCUAGGGUCGCCCUAGGUCAAGGAGGCUAUGACUAGCAGAAGCAGGAUUCGCCUUUAGGAGCCGGGGCACUUCCCACACGGACCCACUGCCUUCUAGCGAGAUUGAUGGAGUCUCGGAAGCCAGCAGGUGUGCAGGCAGGCCAGGGACGCGGAUUAGUCGUUUUGCAGGGUCAGGUUGGCGCACAUCUAGCUGAGGGCUCUGGGCAGCCAGCCAGAGAAUGAGGGACAGAAUGACCUGCCUCCGGAUCCAAAGUCAGGAGUUGCUCCAGAUGAAUUACUGCCAACUUUACAAGACAGACUGGACAAACUCCCAUAUUGUCCGGUCAUGAAACAGCUUCCAGGUGUGGGAAGUUAAGCUGCUUCUUCCCCUACCCUUAACAACACACACACACACCAUCCAAGUUGUCCCCUCUUUUCACCUGCCUACCUGUCCUUUAGAAACAAAGCUGAUUAAAA